CCUACGGGCGGCAGCAGUGGGGAAUAUUGGGCAAUGGGCGCAAGUCUGACCCAGCAACGCCGCGUGAAGGAAGAAGGCUCUCGGGUUGUAAACUUCUUUUCUCAGGGACGAAGCAAGUGACGGUACCUGAGGUAUAAGCCACGGCUAACUACGUGCCAGCAGCCGCGGUAAUACGUAGGUGGCAAGCGUUAUCCGGAUUUACUGGGUGUAAAGGGCGUGUAGGCGGGAAAGCAAGUCAGAUGUGAAAACCAUGGGCUCAACCUGUGGCCUGCAUUUGAAACUGUUUUUCUUGAGUACUGGAGAGGCAGACGGAAUUCCUAGUGUAGCGGUGAAAUGCGUAGAUAUUAGGAGGAACACCAGUGGCGAAGGCAGUCUGCUGAACAGCAACUGACGCUGAGGCGCGAAAGCGUGGGGAGCAAACAGGAUUAGAUACCCGAGUAGUC
Molecule: ribosomal RNA, 443 nt
Filed under: uncultured bacterium
Lineage: Bacteria
Description: partial 16S ribosomal RNA
Rfam family: Bacterial small subunit ribosomal RNA
Source: RNAcentral